Molecule: ribosomal RNA, 325 nt
Filed under: uncultured bacterium
Lineage: Bacteria
Description: bacterial SSU rRNA
Rfam family: Bacterial small subunit ribosomal RNA
Source: RNAcentral
GAUGAACGCUGGCGGCGUGCUUAACACACGCAAGUCGAACGAAGAGAAUUCGAGUGAAGCUUCGGCGGAACGAAAAUUUUCUUAGUGGCGGACGGGUGAGUAACGUGUGGGCAACCUGCCCUUUACUGGGGAAUAAUCAUUGGAAACGACGACUAAUACCGCAUGUCAUCAUUAGGAGGCAUCUCCUGAUGAAAAAAGGAUUUAUUCGGUAAAGGAUGGGCCCGCAUCUGAUUAGCUAGUUGGUGAGAUAACAGCCCACCAAGGCAACGAUCAGUAGCCGACCUGAGAGGGUGAUCGGCCACAUUGGGACUGAGACACGGCCCAA